UGUUAAAAAGUUUAUUCAUUUUUAUUAUUAAAAAUUAGCAUGCUGACAAAAUAACCAAACACGCUGACAUAUAGGGAUUAGUUUUUAAGAGUAGAAAUGGAUAAAUUUUUUAACA
Non-coding RNA from Gossypium raimondii (Peruvian cotton), 115 nucleotides. NCBI's taxonomy places the organism in Eukaryota, Viridiplantae, Streptophyta, Magnoliopsida, Malvales, Malvaceae. The record is from Rfam.